GCACAAGCAGUGGAGUAUGUGGUUUAAUUCGACGCAACGCGAAGAACCUUACCAAGUCUUGACAUCCCUUGACGAUGCUGGAAACAGUAUUUCUCUUCGGAGCAAGGAGACAGGUGGUGCAUGGUUGUCGUCAGCUCGUGUCGUGAGAUGUUGGGUUAAGUCCCGCAACGAGCGCAACCCUUAUGGUCAGUUACUACGUAAGAGGACUCUGGCCAGACUGCCGUUGAUAAAA
RNAcentral lists this ribosomal RNA (232 nucleotides) under uncultured bacterium. Its description in RNAcentral is "partial 16S ribosomal RNA". It matches the Rfam family "Bacterial small subunit ribosomal RNA", at positions 923 to 1163 of the family's 1533-position model. The record is from RNAcentral.